Molecule: ribosomal RNA, 424 nt
Filed under: uncultured Aphanocapsa sp.
Lineage: Bacteria; Bacillati; Cyanobacteriota; Cyanophyceae; Chroococcales; Microcystaceae
Description: bacterial SSU rRNA
Rfam family: Bacterial small subunit ribosomal RNA
Source: RNAcentral
UGGGGAAUUUUCCGCAAUGGGCGAAAGCCUGACGGAGCAAUACCGCGUGAGGGAGGAAGGUCCUUGGAUUGUAAACCUCUUUUCUCAGGGAAGAAGUUCUACGGUACCUGAUGAAUAAGCAUCGGCUAACUCCGUGCCAGCAGCCGCGGUAAUACGGAGGAUGCAAGCGUUAUCCGGAAUUAUUGGGCGUAAAGCGUCCGUAGGUGGUUAUGCAAGUCUGCCGUUAAAGAAUGGAGCUUAACUCCAUAGGAGCGGUGGAAACUGCAAGACUAGAGUACAGUAGGGGUAGCGGGAAUUCCCAGUGUAGCGGUGAAAUGCGUAGAUAUUGGGAAGAACAUCGGUGGCGAAAGCGUGCUACUGGGCUGAAACUGACACUGAGGGAAGAAAGCUAGGGUAGCGAAAGGGAUUAGAUACCCCUGUAGUC